GGUUCCAUAUCAUUUCAGCAACGAGUAAUUUUCAUAUAUCUUUAUUUGGAUGAAACCUUGCAUACAAGUCUUUGGGGGAGAAAAACGCCGUUUUGCAUACUUGGUUCGCCAUUUUGAAUCUAGCCUUACUUAUGAGAAGGGCCUAUGAAAAAUGCACAUGAUAUCUUCAAAAAAUUGUAUCUCGAAAACGGUUUGUCUGAUCGGUUUGGUGUCUUCGGCGAAGUUUUAGACAAUUAUUGGUGCUAUAUGGAGAAAAUAUGCACGGUAAAAAAAUAUGUUUGGUUUUUGUGAUUUGAACUAAAAUAUAGAUUUUCCCUCAAAAGUGACAUGUCAAUAUUUUUUUUAUUAUCCUUAUGUUAUAGCUGACUGAAAAUGCUACCUAGUGCACAGUGGGUUGUUCUGGAGAAAAAUAGGUUACAAUGAAAAAAAAAUGUUUUAAAAAAUUACGGUUUUCAAAAAAAAGCUAUUAAGUAAAGUCAAAAAAGUUUGUCGCCCUAAUUUUAUGAAAGUACAUCAAAUUAGCAAGAAAAAAGUACUUCGGUAACAUUUUUCUAAGAUGCACCGUUUAGAAGAUAUUACUAAUUUAAUAUUGAUUUUUUUGAUAACUUAAUAAGUUUUAGCCCUUUUCGGAUGUACUCCGUGUUUCUCCAGUUUCAAAAGUAUUUUUUUCGGAAAGAUUGGAAAAUUUUGAGUUAAAAUGACACUGACAGCUUAAAGAUUUGAGUGAAAUUCUCUGCCUUAAAAGUAUUUUGAAACAAGUUACAAAAUCCCACUAUCAAGAACAAUGAUUUCUUCCAGUGGUUUUUGGUGCCUUCUGCUUAAAACGUGCUAAUAAGUAUUAGAUACAGGUAAUUAGAUACCAGUUAGCUGUACUACGUACAGUUGGUGAUUGUAAACAUGGUCUUUGUUGGAACUAGUCCACCAUGGCCACGCUGGCCCAGGCUUGUAAACAUUCGACACUUUUCACUGCCUUCGUUUCGUUGUCGCGGUCGGGUGUCAGCUUGCUUUAUUUCAUUCGAACGCGACUGCUACCUCUUACACACAACACAAGCGGCAGAACAAAGAUCAAUAAACAAAAAAGUGGAUCAAAUCAACGUAGUCUGACACGAUGCCAUUAGUAUAAUUCCAGCUUUUCGCAAGAUUUCAGCCAAUUUUGAUUAAAAUUGGUAUAAUAUUAGUAUAAUAUUAGUCACCUUCCAUCAAACUAGACGGCUGCCGACUGAUACCUCAGUCAACAACCGCCGCACUCUUUAUUCAUUCCAGGUAUAUACAAUUUACAAUCUUCUUCAAUAACAAUAUACCUACGCCAGCAAAUCUACCUCGCUCCAACUCUCCAAACUCGUACCUGACGAUACCUGAGCGUUCAACUCUACCUAUCUUCCAGCAGUCUUUACCCAGCAUUCUAUGAUUUAUACCCGUGAGCUGUAUAAUAAUGUCUGACUCGGUUCUGAAUUCAUCCAGUAUCUACUAGGGAAAACCAAACAGUAAAUCCAGAAAGGUUGCUAGAAGCAUAGUGAUUUCAUAGUAAUUUCAGCUAAUAAUCCAGUGUUUUUGAACUAGAUCCAGUGUUGUUUGAUAACAUAAUAAUUGUAAAGGAAAGUGUAACACGUUUUGGUGCAAAGAUUACAAAAUGAGUAAAAUCAGAUGUAUUCGUCCAUUCAAAGACAUUCAGUGUUCGAAAGAGCUGCGAUAUCUCACGGAUGGUAUCAUCCAAAAACUAAAGUCAAUUGGAUUUUCCAAGGUAUCCACACUGAACACCAAGGAUUUUCGUAUUUGUUCGUCUUGCCGUCUACAUAUUGAUUCAAGAGCUCACCUCACCCAAAACGAAGAACAAAGCGUAGCCGGUGGCUCAAGGAUGCCAACUGUUCAGACCAUACCUGUUGUACCUGAUUCGUAAAGCUAUGAAAGUUUGGUCACGAUACCAUCAGCGUCAACGCUAAGCACAAUUCAAUCAAAUGAAGACUUCACGAUGCCUGUAGACGUCGAAAUAUUCAACCGAGGAAUAGCAGCUAUUCGUGUUUCGCCUAUAGAUUUAGGUAAGGUUAAAAAUGUUCACUAUCCUGAAAAAAGUGCGCUGAAAUCGUCGAAGGUGUACGAAGAAAUCUUUUUAAAUUAGACGCUAAAACAGAAAAAGCAAACGAGUUUAAUGAAGUCAUAGAAAAUAUGAAAAUUAAAUUUUUAAAUUCAGCCACAAGGCAAGAAAAACUAUCAAUUUUAUCAUUGUUACCAAAAUCAUGGUCAGUACAAAAAAUUGUAGACGAAUUUAAAACUAGUAGAAAUAUGGCAUCAGAUGCAAGAAAGGAAAAAAAUAAUGUAUUAGAUUCAUCUCAAGGUUCAAGCUCUGGAAAAGCUUUGAGUAAUGAAACAAAAGAACUGGUUUUGAAUUUUUUUGAGGACGAUGAUAUAAGCCGUGCAAUGCCAGGCCAAAGAGAUUUUGUUAGCGUAAAGACAGGAAAUAAGAGAUUAGCUGUUCAGAAAAGAUUGUUAAUGAUGACAUUAAGAGAAGCUUUUAAUCGCUUUAAUGAAAUGUA
Aedes albopictus (Asian tiger mosquito) is the source of this 2531-nucleotide long non-coding RNA. RefSeq lists it as uncharacterized. The record is from RefSeq and is a predicted model, not a curated record. NCBI's taxonomy places the organism in Eukaryota, Metazoa, Arthropoda, Insecta, Diptera, Culicidae. The transcript is spliced from 2 exons.